AUACGUAGGUGACAAGCGUUAUCCGGAUUUACUGGGCGUAAAGGGCGUGUAGGCGGUCUUGCAAGUCAGAAGUGAAAUUCCUGAGCUCAACUCGGGCGCUGCUUCUGAAACUGCAGGACUUGAGUGCUGGAGGGGAUAGCGGAAUUCCUAGUGGAGCGGUAAAAUGCGCAGAUAUUAGGAAGAACACCGGUGGCGAAGGCGGCUAUCUGGACAGUAACUGACGCUGAGGCGCGAAAGCGUGGGGAGCAAACAGGAUUAGAUACCCUGGUAGUCCACGCCAUAAACGAUGAAUACUAGGUGUAGGGGGUAUCGACCCCCUCUGUGCCGACGUUAACACAUUAAGUAUUCCACCUGGGGAGUACGGCCGCAAGGCUGAAACUCAAAGGAAUUGGCGGGG
RNAcentral lists this ribosomal RNA (397 nucleotides) under uncultured bacterium. Its description in RNAcentral is "partial 16S ribosomal RNA". It matches the Rfam family "Bacterial small subunit ribosomal RNA", at positions 523 to 918 of the family's 1533-position model. The record is from RNAcentral.